GGAGUUAGCCGGUGCUUCUUCUGCGAGUAACGUCACAGAUGUAAGGUAUUAACUUACACCCUUUCCUCCUCGCUGAAAGUGCUUUACAACCCGAAGGCCUUCUUCACACACGCGGCAUGGCUGCAUCAGGGUUUCCCCCAUUGUGCAAUAUUCCCCACUGCUGCCUCCCGUAGGAGUCUGGGCCGUGUCUCAGUCCCAGUGUGGCUGAUCAUCCUCUCAGACCAGCUAGGGAUCGUCGCCUAGGUGAGCCUUUACCUCACCUACUAGCUAAUCCCACCUGGGCUUAUCCAUCAGCGCAAGGCCCGAAGGUCCCCUGCUUUCCCCCGUAGGGCGUAUGCGGUAUUAGCAGUCGUUUCCAACUGUUAUCCCCCACAAAUGGGCAAAUUCCCAGGCAUUACUCACCCGUCCGCCGCUCGUCAUCUUCAAAAGCAAGCUUUUGAAAUGUUACCGCUCGACUUGCAUGUGUUAGGCCUGCCGCCAGCGUUCAAUCUGAGCCAUGAUACAACUACUGA
RNAcentral lists this ribosomal RNA (512 nucleotides) under uncultured bacterium. RNAcentral describes it as "partial 16S ribosomal RNA". The record is from RNAcentral.